UCGGGACCGGAGCGCGGACA
Molecule: microRNA, 20 nt
Filed under: Gallus gallus (chicken)
Lineage: Eukaryota; Metazoa; Chordata; Aves; Galliformes; Phasianidae
Description: microRNA Ros-gga
Source: RNAcentral